RNAcentral lists this non-coding RNA (29 nucleotides) under Mus musculus (house mouse). Lineage: Eukaryota; Metazoa; Chordata; Mammalia; Rodentia; Muridae. The record is from RNAcentral.
UAAGCUCUUUUUCUGGAAGACACAGCUUG